CAGGACUGAAGUUGACAUAAAAGGCAAAGAACGGGGACAGAAACGUUCUGUGGCUUUGAUGAGGUGAUGUGCCUGCAGAGGUCAGAAGAUCCCACUGAGCUGGAGUUAAUGAAGUUUGAGAACUGGCCAACAUGGGAGCUAGGAACUGAACCCGGGUCCUCUGGAAGAACAACAAAUGCUCUUAAUUCCUGAGCCACCUUUACAGCCUCCAAAUACUCCUUUUUCAUGGUUUGCUGGAGUCCAGCUGACGGCUCCAACAAACCUACACGAUAUUGAUGUGUUCGCUCACAGUUCUUUAUCUAAGAAUGCCAAACCUGAGAGACUGCCUUGGACUUCUGUGGUAGGCGACAAGUCCUCUCUAAGAACAAGAGUGUUAGGAAGAAGGGAUGUGAACAUCACUCCCAAAACUCCAGGGAAAGUCGGACCAACAUGACAGUGAAAAUUAUAAAGCAAAAUGUACCGGAAAUGGAAGAACUUCCAGGCCCGCUGGUGGACACCUGUAAUCCCAAUGUCUGAGCUGCAAAGGGAGCAAGAGCUCAAGGAUCUCAAAUUUGAAGGCAGACUAGAUCAAAAAGAGGCUGAAAUAGAGUUCUUCCAGUAUCGACUCCAUUCUGCAGACAGAUCAGUACUAACUUCAUUCAACAGAUACAUGGAGACUCUGAAGUCCCUUUCAGUAAACAGCAUUCGUGAUAUAUACGCAAAAUCAAUCAGGCAUUUGGCCAAAAAGAAAAGCUCAACACACUGAAGCUGGAAGGAAGAAUGUGUAGUUGUUUCCAGUUUGUCUACUUUAAUCAUACAUAGAAAAAGAAAAGGUAUAAUGUAUGCUUUAACAUUUGCAAAUUUAUCAUAUAAAUCAGAAAGACUGAAAAAGGUAACAUCGCAUUCCGGAGAACACCCUGGAGUAGAACAAAAUGAACUGCACUCAAAGCGAACGCACAGCUUUCUUUAAAUAAACUAGGAAGAAUUAAUCGCAAUAAAAGAUGAAAAUAAGUACAUUAAAAAUAAAAAGCCAAAACAAAGCAGAAAGGAAAAAUUAAUUUAGAGACCAUUUUUCUUUUUUGAGACCAAUAAAGCAGAUAAACUCCCUAUGAACCCAAUUAAAGAGAGAAUGCACACACGCGAGGCACUUUUUAAAAAAUAAACAGGCUUAGAACUGAAGAAAUAGACUCGGAGAUCCAGGAGAGUUCCAAAGACUUACAAGGUAUGAGGCUUCCAGUUCAUUGGCUGCAAAUUGGAACACACAGAGGAAGUGAACAAUUUCCUAACAAAAUAUAAAUUACUUAAAUUGCCAAUCACUGAAGACAUCUGCAUGAUGAUUAAGAAUGAUUCUUGGAAAAAGGAACAAAGACCAGAUGGGUUUAAUCUUUAAAAAACAGAUGAUUCCAGUGUGAUUUAAAUAUUUCCAGGCCAUGGGGGAAAAAUAUCUCCUCAAGUCAUUGUGCAAAGACAGAUUAAUUUUGAUUCCAGAGUGUGAUGUGGACAUAAAAGAAUAUGUAAGAUCCAUCUCGCUUAAGAAUACAGACGUAAAAAAUUUUAACUAAGAUGCUAAAAAUAACAUGUUGUUGUAUCUUUGACUCAUAUCAGACACAUGGCCCUAGUCUAACUGAAGAUUUC
This is a long non-coding RNA of Rattus norvegicus (Norway rat), 1614 nucleotides long. Lineage: Eukaryota; Metazoa; Chordata; Mammalia; Rodentia; Muridae. The record is from Ensembl.